CACAAGCGGUGGAGUAUGUGGUUUAAUUCGAUGCAACGCGAAGAACCUUACCUGGUCUUGACAUCCCGGAGACCCUUAGGAAACUAGGGGGUGGCUUCCAUCUGGAAGAAUCUGGAGACAGGUGCUGCAUGGCUGUCGUCAGCUCGUGUCGUGAGAUGUUGGGUUAAGUCCCGCAACGAGCGCAACCCUUGCCUUUAGUUGCCAGCAGUUCGGCUGGGCACUCUAAAGGGACUGCCGGUGUUAAACCGGAGGAAGGUGGGGGAUGACGUCAAGUCCUCAUGGCCUUUAUGACCAGGGCUACACACGUACUACAAUGGCCGAUACAAAGGGCAGCGACACUGCGAGGUGAAGCCAAUCCCGUAAAAUCGGUCUCAGUCCGGAUUGGAGUCUGCAACUCGACUCCAUGAAGUUGGAAUCGCUAGUAAUCGUGGAUCAGCAUGCCACGGUGAAUACGUUCCCGGGCCUU
Molecule: ribosomal RNA, 466 nt
Filed under: uncultured Desulfobulbus sp.
Lineage: Bacteria; Pseudomonadati; Thermodesulfobacteriota; Desulfobulbia; Desulfobulbales; Desulfobulbaceae
Description: bacterial SSU rRNA
Rfam family: Bacterial small subunit ribosomal RNA
Source: RNAcentral